Molecule: long non-coding RNA, 583 nt
Filed under: Numida meleagris (helmeted guineafowl)
Lineage: Eukaryota; Metazoa; Chordata; Aves; Galliformes; Numididae
Description: lncRNA (ENSNMEG00000013271.1)
Source: RNAcentral
AUGAAGAAGAUGUACUGAGCAAGUUAAAUAUCUCUGUGACCGGUACUAUGAAAGCCAAUAUUAUGAAGCACCAAAGAAAGGUGUGAAAAAUCUGUAGGACUGUUUAUACUCCUGGCCAUCCUCCCACAGAAAGACCCUAUUAAGUCAAGAUGCCAGAUUAACAGCCCUAGAGACUUUCUGUUCCAAGGACAUCCCAAGGACCAGCAGUGAGAGUCCAGUUUUUGCCAUGCUGCCCCUGCAAUGUGACAUUGAUAUGACUAUAGUGACCAAAGGAGAAGGUAGCUCAAAUUGUUCAGGUCAGAGUGUUCAGGCUAAGAAAAAGUUGGAAUCUCAAGUCCACAGAGCUUGUCUGAGCUGGCAGAAAGCACUGAAACUGAGGCUUGUUGCAAAAGGCUUUGCAGAGCUACUAAUAAAACAUGAAAAAAAGGGAAAAUUCAUACUCUUAGAAAGAAAUAUGCUGUACAUGGCGUGCCCUGGGGAGCUGCAUUCAGGACUAGAGCCACUGGGACAUGGCAAAGAGACAAGGAAUGCAGAGAGAAGAUGUAGAAAUGUGGAAAGUGGGGUUAGUUUGCCUACUGGCUGA